Molecule: ribosomal RNA, 492 nt
Filed under: uncultured bacterium
Lineage: Bacteria
Description: partial 16S ribosomal RNA
Rfam family: Bacterial small subunit ribosomal RNA
Source: RNAcentral
AGUGAACGCUGGCGGUAGGCCUAACACAUGCAAGUCGAACGGCAGCACAGUAAGAGCUUGCUCUUACGGGUGGCGAGUGGCGGACGGGUGAGGAAUACAUCGGAAUCUACUUUUUCGUGGGGGAUAACGUAGGGAAACUUACGCUAAUACCGCAUACGACCUACGGGUGAAAGCAGGGGAUCUUCGGACCUUGCGCGAUUGAAUGAGCCGAUGUCGGAUUAGCUAGUUGGCGGGGUAAAGGCCCACCAAGGCGACGAUCCGUAGCUGGUCUGAGAGGAUGAGUCGCCCCACUGGAACUGGGACACGGUCCCACCUCCUUACGGGAGGCGCCGUGGGGAAUUUUUGACAAUGGGGGGAAGCCCGGUCCAGCCCUACCGCGUGGGUUAAGGAAGCCUUCGGGUUGUAAAGCCCCUUUUUUGGGAAAGAAAAGCAGCAGGUUAAUACCCCGCUGUUCUGACGGUACCCAAAGAAUAAGCACCGGCUAACUUCGUG